RNAcentral lists this long non-coding RNA (25204 nucleotides) under Homo sapiens (human). Its description in RNAcentral is "HSALNT0364148". The record is from RNAcentral. Lineage: Eukaryota; Metazoa; Chordata; Mammalia; Primates; Hominidae.
GUACUGGGACGAUUCCGCGGAGCCGGGCAGAGGUUUUAGGGGUGCGCAGGAGUCAAGUGGUGGUUCAGUGGGGACGGUGAGGUGGAGGACGAUCUGGUCGGAUAGCCGCGGGCACGAACCUGGGAACCAGAGGGUGGAGGCCAUGCUGGGGACUGAUGUAGGGCGGGACCGACUGGAAGCGGCAUCCAGAGGCCCAGUGAGCCUCGGUCUCAGCUCCUGAAGGGGUUGCAUGGGGCCCUACGCUUCCUUCUCCAUUUUUUAGCUAAGAGAUUGAGAGAGUCGGUUUACUUUUGGGCUUGGAGUAUCAUUUAGAUCUGUUAACAGUACAGUUGAGAGAGUUGGUGUCUUUUGUUGAGGUGCGAGGACCCGAGGCGGCGACCCUCGCCUUUAUUCGGAGAAGCCCACUUCCACCCACAGAGUUGGGGUAGUCCUCCGAAAUGCAUUUUUGUUUUGCCGUUUGUUUUCCAACCCCCUUUCACUCUCCCCAAAGCUUCAGAUUCACUGAUUUUUCAUACAGGAAUGAUUAACAAAGGCGUCCGAAGAAAUCGUUGUUGGAAGGUGACCAAGGUGGAAAGAGACGUUGCUUUGGCCCUGCAAGUAAGAAGAGAGAGGGAAUAGCCUGAAGGAGUAACACUAAAUUUAAAAUGACACUUUUUUACCAACCAGCGAAAGCAGAUGUUCAAAGGGGAUAUUGGCCAGGUGCGGUCGCUCACGCCUUUAAUCCCAGCACUUUGGGGGCAGACGCGGGGAGAUAGCGUGAUUCUAGGAGUUCAACCCCAGCCUGGGCAACAUGCGGAGACCCCGUACCGUCUCUACAAAAACAUUAAACAAAAAAAUUAGCUGGGCAUGGUGGUGUACCCCUGUAGUUGCAGCUACACUAGAGGCUGAGGUGGGAGGAUCGCUUGAGCCCGGGAUGUUGAGGCUGCAGUGAGCCUCGAUCCUACCACUGUGCUCCAGCCUGGGCGACAGCAAGCCCGUGUCUCAGAAAAGGCGGGAGGGGUGGGAUAUUAUUGAUGAUAGGCCUUCUGACGUCUGGCAAUAGAUUCCAGAGUAACAUCGGUCAUGGAUAAAUUUUUUUUUUAACUAAGUGACUGAAACCAAAGUUAAUUGUCUUUUGAGUGAUUUUGCACAGUAUCUCAAAAUGAACUGUACUUUUUUUCUUGUGUCACUGAAACAGUGCUGUGUGUUCUUUUUCAGAGUCUGUCACACUAAGAUGAGAAAUGUCCUUUCUUCCUGAAGGUGUCUGAUGUGUAAAAAUAUGAUAUACUUUGUGCUGUUUCCUCCCUUCCCUUUUGCAUAUUAUUCUGAAACAACAUUAACUAGUUACUUUGCGUCAUUGAAGGUAUGCACUUCCCCUCUAUGUUAGGAGUGAAUAAAAUUAAAAAUAGAUCCUUAUAACAAAGAAAGGCAGAUAGAAUGAUUAAAAAUGACCAAAACAUGUUAGAAACAGUCUCUCAGGUGUAUGCAGAUGGUAAUUACAAAAAUACUUUUUCAAAAAAUGAUCUUCUGUGUCAUGUUUCUGGGAACAAGUCAAGAUGAAUGAGUUUGAUUUUUAAGCAGAAGUAGUAUGUGUUGGUGUCAUCCAUGAAUACAACAAUGAAAAAGGCUCAAAGUUGUUGUUAUUCAGAAACUUCUCUAAGUAAUGGUGGUAAGUACAGGAAAAGGAGCAAUGUCUACCAUUUUCUUUCUAACCUUCGAUUUAACUAUUGUAAUGUUGUAAGCUUAACAGAGACUUACACUUAGGCUUAAUUUCAAGCUCUUCAAUCAUUUUUCCCGGUUGGUGAUUCAGGUGUAUUCUCAUGUCUUAUGUAAACUUAUCAUGAGUGUUGUUGAUUUAUAAUAUAUUUCUUUAUGUAAGCCAUAGCCUUGUCAGUUUGAGUUAUAUGGAAGACAAAUUGUAGGGAAAAAGAGCAACAGAUUACUCAGAAACCUUCUGUGUGAGCUGGGCAUAGUAGUGCAUGCCAGUAGGCUUAGCUACUUGGGAGGCUGAGGCAGGAGGAUCACUUGAUCCCAUUAGUUUGAGGCUGCAGUGAGCUAUGAUUGUGUCACUGUACUCCAAUCUGGACAACAGUGAGACUAUGUCUGUUUUUAAAAAAGAAAGAAAGCUUGUGUUUGAGAAGUGAUACCUCUAGAAUACAGUGAUUUCUAUAAUUUGUCAUGUGUUUGGGUAGUUUGAAGUUUUUCUAUCCUUGUAUCUAAUGGACAUCUGACCAUAAAGAUGAAAAAAUCCUGCACUCAUUAUAAAUUUUAUUUAUAAAAUUGAUAUUUGAGGAGUUGGGGAGGCCAGCUUCUGAAAAAAUAACAGUGUCCCAUAGAAACACCACAACUUAGGAAAAUAUUGUUAAAGUGGAAUUAGGAAUAUCUAGAGGAGGUAAAGCUUUUCAUCUCUCAAAAAAGAAUUAGGGCCAGGCACAGUGGCUGACACCUGUAAUCCUAGCACUUUGGGAGGCCGAGAUGGGCACAUCACUUGGGGCCAGGAGUUCAAGACCAGCCUGGCCAACAUGGCGAAACCCCAUCUCCAAGAAAUAGAAAAGUUAGCCAGGUGUGGUGGCGUGCGCCUGUAAUACCAGCUACUAGGGUGGCUGAGGCAGGAGAAUCGCUUGAACUGGGGAGGUGGAGGUGGCAGUGAGCAGAGAUUGAGCCACUGUACUCCAGCCUGGGCAACAGCAAGACCCUAUCUCAAAAAAAUAAUAAAGAGAAUUAGGACAUGGAUUUGUAUUAAAAUUAUAGGUAGCUCAUUUAAGAGUAUGAAGCCAAUUGCUGUUAGAGCAAGGGUUUUUUUCAGUAGAGGUGUCAGGAUAACCUAUACAGCUCUAAAAGUAUAUGGCUGUUACCUUCCCAUCCCUGUUGAAAUCUCCAGGGUUAGAACCAAGUAUUGUGUUUUUAAAACUAUAGGUGAGUCUACAAGAGUUGGGUGGAGUAGUCCUCUACAUCCUGUGUUUGUAUUUUUGCAGUAAGUCACACAAUAACAAAAGCUUUGAGAAAGAUUUUAGGUUUAUUGCUAAUUAUACCCAUGAAUGAAUUCUGAAAAUGUGUAGAUAAGGAAUUUACCUGGUGAACGGUUUACACAUGGCAAUUGUGGGAGGGAGAGGGGAGUGAGAGGAGAUGAGAUCAGUUUUAGCUUUAAGAGGACCAACCGGGCCAAGCACGGUGGCUCACGCCUGUAAUCCCAGCACUUUGGGGCCGAGGUGGGUGGAUCACGAGGUCAGCAGUUCAAGACCAGCCUGACCAACAUGGUGAAACCCCGUCUCUACUAAACAUACAAAAAAUUAACUGAGUGUGGUGGCGGGUGCCUGUAAUCCCAGCGACUUGGGAGGCUGAGGCAGGAGAAUCGCUUGAAACUGGAAGGCGGAGGUUGCAGUGAUCCGAGAUUGUGCUAAUGCACUCUAGCCCGGGCAAUAACAGCAAAACUCCCGUUUAAAAAAAAAAAAAAAAAAGGGACCAACCAUGAUAUCCUGACUAACCUGUAUAUUUCUUAGAAUGAGGGUUUAGCCUAAUAUUAAGAAAGUCUAAUGUUAAGAGACACCUAGUAAGAGCUCAACGCUGUGGUAAAAUUAUGAUAGUUAUGCAGAAACUUAAAAGCUGAAGUAUCCAGAGACAAUAUAUUGUUUAGAAUUUUCUGAAAAUAAAAAUUUUCUUGCCCUAAGUCUUGAAUUUUUAAGUUAUUGAUGUUAAUAUUUAUGAUCUUUGAACAAAUGAUAUUAUAAUAGAGUAUCUUUUAGGUCACAGAGACCCCUUUUUAGAGCUGAGAAAUCUUACAAAUUCCUCAGCCCAUGUUUUACAGAUAAGGAAAUGGGCAUGCACACAGUGAAAUUAAAAAUUGCUAGUGGUCACACUGUACAUUGAUGGCAAAGGCAGGGCAGAAUUAGAAUCCAAUUAUCUUACCUGUUCAGUGUCUUUAAUGAUACAGCAAGCUCACCACUGUUUCUCUUUACUCUUUAAACAGUGGAUUUUUUUUGUCAUGAUUUUGAUUUCUUGUAUAAUGCAGUUCAAUACUUGUUUAAUUUUAAUGUUGGACUCUCAAUUUUUAAGACAGUAGUACACAUGAAAUGUGCUUUAUAUUUUAUGUUUCAACAAGAAAAUACACAUUUUCCUUUUAAUAGAGGAGCUUAAGUUCCUAAUUUAAAUAAUUGAGUAUGAGCUUCAGAUACUUCAGAGUGGUAUUAAUAAACUUUGCUUUUCCAAAUGGUUUCAGAUAAGCAUUUAAUAUUCAAAGCUUCCUCUUUACAGCUUAGGAAGUGGUCUGGUUAAGUGACUUGAGUUCAUACAGGAAUAUAUCGGUAUGUUCCUAAUUCCCAUCAAGUGUACCAUUAUGUAAUCAUAUAAUCUUGCUAACAGAUCUAACAGAUUACUUUUUUUUUUUUUUUUUUUUUGAGACAGAGCCUUGCUCUGUCGCCCAGGCUGGAGUGCAGUGGCGCGAUCUCUACUCACUGUAACCUCCGCCUCCCAGGUUCAAGCAAUUCUUCUGCCUCGGCCUCCCAAGUAGCUGGGACUACAGGCAGGCACUACCACACCCGGCUAAUUUUUGUAUGUUUAGUAGAGACGGGGUUUCACCAUGUUGGCCAGGCUGGUCUGGAACUCUUGACCUCAAGUGAUCCGUCUGCCUCUGCCUCCCAAAGUGCUGGGAUUAUAGGAGUGAGCCACUAUGCCUGUCCUCUAGGGAAAAUCUUUAAUUCAUUCUGGACAAUGAGAAAACUUUUAUUUUUACUUUUAGUUAACAAUACUCAGGAAAAUAAAAAGUGUGCUUUUUAAUCUUAGUAACCCAAUUUGAGUUUGAAACAAAUUUACAUAAUUUUAGCUGCUUAAUAUGCUGCUGAAGAUAAAUGCAGUAAAUAUCCCAAGGUCAAGAUUUGAAAUCCAAAUGUCCAUAGUAAUGAUUAACAGGAAAAGAGAGUCCUCUGUUAACUUUAUUUCUCAAUUUUUUACAGGUUUGGAUAAUUAAGGGAGCACUAGAAAACUUUUUUUUUUUUUUUUGAGAUGGAGUCUGUUGCCCAGGCUGGAGUACAGUGGUACGGUCUCGACUCACUGCAAUCUCCGCUCCUGGGUUCAAGUGAUUUCUCUUGCCUCAGUCUCCUGACUAGCUGGGAUUUACAGGCGCAUGCCACCAUGCCCAGCUAAUUUUUGUAUUUUUAUUAGAGACGGGUUUCAUCAUGUUGGUCAGGCUGGUCUCAAACUCCUGACCUCGUGAUCCACCCGCCUCGGCCUCCCAAAGUGCUGGGAUUACAGGUGUGAGCCACCGUGCCCAGCCGAAAAUGUUUCUUUGCAAGGAUAAAUAUAUGAAGAUAAACUUGCCGAGCGUAAAUAUGUUCAUGAAUAUAGCCACUUAAGGAAAUUCAAACAUGCAGAGAUGUUCAGCUGUAUGCAGUUAUGUAUUCAUGAAGUAUUCAUGUAUUCAUGAAGCCUUAUUUGAUGUAGAAUCUGAGGGUGCUGCCUAUACAUAAACUUGCUUAAAGGUUAAAACUUAAGGAAUGUUCAUCAAAGUCACUUUCUUACACCUAACUCCUGAUUUCAUGAAUAUAACACAUAGGUGCUUAUCAAACUGAAUACCUUGGAGAUGAGCUGCUCCAGCACCAGAAGAUAAAAUUCAGUAACUGUAAUCCUUGAGGUACCUAAGUGAUACAUUUUUUUUAAGACUGAGCCAAAAUAAAACAGCUUUCCUCCUUCCCUACCCUCUCCGACCAAACUUUUAGCCAUUUUAUUUAUUUAUUUAUUUGAGAUGGGGUCUAGCCAUGUGGAGUGCAGUGGCUAUUCACAAGCAUGAUCAUAGCAAAUGACAGCCACAGACUCCUGGGUUCGAGCAAUCCUGCCUCAGCCACUCAAGUAACUAGGACUACAGGCGUAUACUGGGGCUUCUAGCCAUUUAUAUGGUAUUAAGUGACAGCUUCUAUAGUUACUUGGUACUUGUCCCUGUAAAACUGCACAGUGUGUAUUCUCUUGGCUCAAUUAUUAGCAUAUUCUGCCAUUUCCUUGUGAAUGUUUUGUAUUUUAUAUAGGAAAACUUAAGUUUUUAAAUAUCCUGAAAUAACUGAAGAAUUUUGUUUUUGCCUUUAAGUGGUAAUGUAUAAAGUAUACUAUUGCAGAGAUACUUACAGAGUGCUUUCAUUGCAAUUAAAAUACUGCAGCUAACUAGCAUGUUCCAUAUGUGUAAUCUAAAUGACAUACUGGUCAUGUGCUAUUUCUAUGGAAUACUAACAGUAGUAUGGUACAUUUAUGCAGUCUCAACAGUUUAAAGUGUUAUUUUGGUGAUAAACUGUUUACAUUUAUUUGUUUUUAUAUUUGGCAGUCUAAAUGCAAGAGUCUCCAUUUCAGCUCUUUACUCUGCAUAUCUUUAAUGUUGGGCAUUAUGCCUCUUUCUUGAGUUUCAGUCCUAUGACUGUUCCAUUUUCAGUAUUCAUGUUUAUGUGUCUUUCUAAAAUUGUUUUGCUUCUGUUUCUUGCUGCUCUUGAGACAAUUUAUGGGCAAAUUUUGUUACUUUUCAACUGGCCGUGUAUUUCCCUGUGAAGAGUUGCUGGAUUGUCUCAUUUUCCAGAUAAACUGAAUUAAUGUAGUAGUGAGGAGAAGCCAGAUUUCAGAGGUUUGACAAGUGAACAAAUGGGAAUGAGAAAAGAAGUAGGUACUUAAACUUUUAAGAAGUUUGGCUCUGAAAAAGGCAAGAAAUAAUGGGUUAGAGAGGGCAGGAUUGUAAGGAUUUAAGAUAGGAGAAGAGGCAUAAGCAUAUUUAAAUUUCCCUACUUAAGGGCCAAAAUCAUACUGUACCUCAGUCUGAACUUUUUAAAGGAAUUCAAGGACACAAAAUUCUGCCCUGCCCUGAAAUCCAGUCAGGAGGAAGGGAGAAGAGCUCUGAAGUACUUUUGUAAUUUUCUUCUACAUAAUAAUUGAUUUUUGUUUGAUUAUUUUUCUUUCCUAUAGCUCCUGUUUGCCAGGUUUUUCAUAGCUGCCUAUUUAACCAAACUUGUACUCCCAAGAAUAGUGCAUAUUUAUGAUUCUUAAUUCCAAAAACACAUGGCAAUGAUAAUGUCUCUGCUUCUUUUGAGAAAUUAACUUGGUUCUGAAAGAUGGUGUUUGCUUUUCACACCUGUAUCAUUAAUACUUCCUUGCCAAACCUAACUAGGAUCCUCACCACCACUGUUAGAGAAAACUGAUGCUCAGUUGAACCAGAAUGUUAAAUGUGAACAGGAUUUGUCUGUGUUGUUGCCCAGCUAUGUUUAUCCAUACACAUUACCUGGAGGAAGAGAAAUCUGAGAUAAUUGAGUUGAUUAGAUUACUUACAUGAAGAUGGUUUAAUUGUAUCAAUACAGAAAAAUGCACAAGGAAAGAAACUGACACCUUAAGGCAACAAAGCCCUCCAUAAAAAGUAACCGAAUUUUGAGAGUUACGAACUAAUGUCCAUUACCUGAAGUCCUUCUCAUUCCAUUACCCAGUAACAUAAAUCAAAUUCAGUAAAUAAGCUGCUUUAUGUCUUGAGAAAUUUAACUGGCAGAAUAAAUGGAAAGAAGUCAGUAAAAAGGGAGCAGUUGAACAAGCAUGGUGUCUCACACCAAUAACCCCAGCACUUUGGGAGGCCGAGGCAGGUGAAUCACUUGAGGUCAGAAGUUCAAGACCAACCUGGCCAACAUGGUGAAAACCCAUCUCUACUAAAAAUGCAAAAAUUAGCUGGGCUUGGUGGCAGGUGCUUGUAAUCCCAGCUACUCAGGAGGCUGAGGCAGGAGAGUCACUUAAAACCCAGGAGGCAGAGGCAGUGAGCUGAGAUCGUGCCACUGUACCCCAUCCUGGGCAACAGGACGAGGCUCCAUCUCAGGGAAAAAAAAAAAGAAAAAGCUGAGCAUGGCGGCAUGUGCCUGUAGUCUUAGCUACUCAGGAGGCUGAGGCAGGAGGAUCACUUGAGCCCAGGAGUCGUAGGUUGCAGUGGUGCCAUUGUGUUCCAGCCUGGGUAAGAGUAAGGCCCUGUUUCAGUAAAAAGAAGGGAGUAACCAAGACAGGUAGGGAUUCAGUAUAAUAAAAGUCAAAAGUAGUUGUUUAUUACUAGAGCCUGGCACUGUAACCUGGUAUGUCCAAAUGUGAUUUAAUUUGCUCUCAAGAUGUGCACCAGAAGAAAUAACCCGAGGCAUUUCAAAGAAAAAACAAAAUGUGACCUGCUAGUUCUGUUACUCUGCCACAAGUUAACACAUUUUGAACUUAAGUGCAGAGUCCCAUACAUCCAGUGUGACUCCCCAAAUCUCAAAAAUUUAGGCUAAAACCUAAUUUUGUGUCCAAGCCAGUGCCUGCUUGUUCCUGCUGAAUUUAAAACUUUGGGUCCAGCAAUCUUCUAUCGCUGGAGGGAGGGAGAGGUAUGAAAAUAAUGUUUAAUGGUAAUUGUUUAUUGUCAUGGGCCCAUAUUAUACCCAGAUUUAGAGAGCUAUUUGACACACCUGUAACCUAAUGUUUAUUUUAACUUAAUAUCUGCUCAGUCAGGUAAGAGAUGCAACUUCACAGAGGUCCAUUUAACGUGCCUAAACCUAAGUAGAAACACAAAAGCUAUGUAUAGUCCCUUGUUUGAGAUAACACUAAAUUUUUAGAGAAUAGCUUGGUACUGUGGUAGACAGAGUUCACUUAAAAUGCAUUUAACAAUUUACAGAUAACUGGAAAGUAAUUCAUUCAUCUUAGAACCCUGGUAGGGACAUUCUAUUAAAAUAUUUGUGUACUAGUUAAAGUCAAAAUAGAAAUACAGCCUAUCACACGGUAUUUAUACUAUGCAUUAUGAUUAAUAAAGCCACCUAAGGUCGUUACUCCAUGAUCAUGGGAAGUUGUUAGUCAUUAAGAGUUCGGGUUUAGCAACAAAAAUCUUGCGUUUGAAUCUAAACACAUUACAUGAUUUUAAGCAUGUUCAUCAUUCUGAGAUUAAAUAAAAAUUAAGGAAAUAUAUGAAAAAUGCUUAAUAAGUACCCAAAAGGUAAUAUGGUGUAGCAACUUAGAAUGUAGACUUCAGAGCCAGUCAGCUAGGAUUAAAAUGACACUUCGGCCAAUCACUGUUGACUAUAAGCAAGUUAUUUAACUCUGCCUCAGUUUUGUCUGUGAAGUAGGGAUAAAAUCUUCCUCGCUAGGUUGCUAUAAGAAUUAAAUGGAUAUAUUAAGUACUAUCAUGUGAGAUCACUUUAUUUGAGGCUAAAAAAAUUUUUUUUAACUAGGAUUCACUGAAAAUACAUCUAUAAAAAAGCCACUCUUUAUCAUGAGAAGUAUGAUUUUCUGUACCUUAGGUGUUAUAAAGCAAUAUCCCCUCAGUUUUAACUUUACCAAAAUACCUGUCUUAGUAAAUGAUACUAUAUAUACCAAAUAUUGCAUAUGUGUAUAUAAACUUCAACUGUCUACUUCUAUCACUGACAGUUUAAAAAUUGAGAUAAAGUAAGUAUUAUCUGAGUAAUAUAACCAUUUUCUAUUUAUUUAUUUAUUUAGAAACAGUCUCACUCUGUCACCCAGGCUGGAGUGCAAUGGCUCGGUCUCAGCUCACUGCAACCUCCGCCUCCUGGAUUCAGGCAGUUCCCCCACCCCACCCUCCCGAGUAGCAGAGACGGGGUUUCACUGUGUUGGCCAGGCUGGUCUCGAACUCCUGACCUUGUGGUCUGCCCGCCUCGGCCCCCCAAAGUGCUGGGAUUACAGGCGUGAGCCACCGCACCCAGCCAAUCUAACCAUUUUCAAGAUUUGAUCUGCAAAUACCUGAAGUAAGUACAAGCACUGUGGCCCAGUUAAAGAGUGUUAGAACUGUAAGAAGUCCAAAGGCAUAGCUAAGAAUUGCUUUAGAGUCAGUUGUGGGUUCUGAAUUCUUGCUCUGAUAGUUAGCAACUAUGUCUACUUUGGCAAAUUUAGGUUUUGAAGCCUUCCAUAUCUUUAAAAGGAGGUAACAUUUAACAGAGCACCAAAUACAAGGUUUUCUGUAAUAUUAGUUCCAUAGCAUGGUCUGCAAACUUCCAACAUCAGAAUCUCCUGGGAUAUAUGCUAAAUGCAGAUUCUGGUUUCCCAACCAGAAUAUACUGCUUAAAAAUCUGAGGGUUAGUUCUAGGAAUCUGCAUUUUUUUCUAUACAAUGUAUGUAUUAGGGUUCCCUGGAGGGACAGAACUAAUAGGAGAUACAUAUAUAUACACACAUAUAUUUAUUAAGUUUAUUGAGAACUUACACGAUCACAAGGUCCCACAGUAGGCUGGCUGCAAGCUUGAGGAAAAGAGAGAGCCAGAGUCUGAGUCUGAAAACUGAAGAACUUGGGGGUCCAGUGUCUGAGGGCAGGAAGCAUCCAGCGUGGGAGAAGGAUGGAAGCUGGGAGGCUAGGCCAGUCUCUCCUCUUCACGUUUUUCUGCGUGCUUAUAUUCUACCUAUGCUGGUAGCUGAUUAGACUGUGCCCACCAGAUUGAGAGUGGGUGGGCCUUCCCCAGCCCACUAACUCAAAUGUUAAUCUCAUUUGGCAACACCCUUACAGACAAACCCAGGAUCAGUAUUUUGCAUCCUUCAAUCAAGUUGACACUUAGUAUUAACCAUCACAAUGUAUGAUUUUUAAAAUCUGCAUUUUUAAUAAGCUACUAGUUUAUUUUUCCACCUAAUCCAAUUCCUAAUUUUAUUUGAAAGCACCAAGGUAAAUAGUUCCUAAAUCACUGUUAUUUAAAUUGUGCUCCAGUACCCCUUAUUCUUGCUGCAAUUCCAAGACAGAGAUAACAAAAAUUUUUUUUUCAAUGUUUUGUUUUUUUGAGACAGAGUCUCGCUGUGUCCCCCAGGCUGGAGUGCAGUGGCUCGAUCUCGGCUCACUGCAAGCUCCGCCUCCCGGGUUCACGCCGUUCUCCUGCCUCAGCCUCCUGAGUAGCUGGGAUUACAGGCAUGUGCCACCACACCCUGCUAAUUUUUUGUAUUUUUUUUUUUAGUAGAGACGGGGUGCAUGCUGCAUGCUCCGCCUCCCGGGCUCUCGCCAUUCUCCUGCCUCAGCCUCCGGAGUAGCUGGGACUACAGGCGCCUGCCACCACGCCCGGCUAAUUUUUUGUAUUUUUACUGGAGACGGGUUUUCACUGUGUUAGACGGGAUAGUAUUGAUCUCCUGACCUCGUGAGCCACCGCGCCCGGCCUGCCAAAAUUUUUAAUGUUUGCAUGUACAUAGUUACUCAACAAAGAGGCCAGGUGUGGUGGCUCACGCCUAUAAUGCCAACACUUUGGGAGGGUUGCCUGAGCCCAGGAGUUCGAGACCAGCCUGGGCAACAUUGUAAGAGCCUGUCUCUUAAAAAUAUAUAUUUUGGGGAGCCAGGUGUGGCACCUCACGCCUGUAAUCCCAACACUGGGAGGCUGAGGUGAGUGGAUUGCUUGAGCUCAGGAGUUCGAGAUCAGCCUGGGCAACAUGGCGAAACCCUGUCUCUACCAAAAAAAAAAAAAAAAAAAAAAGUAGAGGCAUCGUGGUGUGUGCCUGUGGUCCUGGCUACUGGGAAGUCUGAAGUGGGAGGAUCGCUUGAGCCUAGGAGGUGGAGGUUGGAGUACGCCAAGAUCACACCACUGCAUUCCAGCCUUGGUGUCAGAGUUAGACCCUGUCUCAAAAAAUAUAUUUUAAAAUGAUAUUAAGUAAAGAAUAUAGUCCAGCCACAUGAGCAAGUAUUGCUUAUCUAGAAAGACGUAUAAUAAAGUUCUUUUGGGGAGAUAAACUAUGAUCCAUUCUAUGUUUCAUGUAAAUCAGGGGCAGCCAAUCUUCUGGCUUCCUUGGGCCACAUUGGAAGAAUUAUCUUGGGCCACACAUAAAAUACACUAACACUAAUGAUAGCUGAUGAGUUUUUAAAAAGAAUCACAAAAGCAAUGUUUUAGCAAAGUUUAUGAAUUUGUGUUGGGCUGCAUUCAAAGCUGUCCUGGGCCGCAAGGUGGAAAAAACUUGAUCUAAAGUAUUUGAUUUUUUUAGAAAAGUUUUUGAAUGGCCAGGUGUGGUGGCUCACACCUGUAAUCCCAGCACUUUGGGAGGCCGAGGCAGGCGGAUCACGAGAUCAGGAGAUCGAGACCAUCCUGGCCAACAUGCUGAAACUCCAUCUCUACUAAAAUACAAAAACUUAGCCAGGCAUGCUGGCAUGCGCUUGUAGUCCCAGCUACUCGGGAGGCUGAGGCAGGGGAAUCACUUGAACCCAGGAGGCGGAGGUUGCAGUACAGUGAGCCAAGAUCGCGCCACUGUACUCCAGCCUGGUGACAGAGCAAGACUGUCUCAAAAAAAAAAAAAAGGAAGCUUUUGAAUAAGAAGCAACUCUACAGUACUCUAUUGUAGACAACCAAAGUAUUAAUAUUUGGGGGGCACAAUUUCAACCAACUUUAAAUUAUUUCAUUCUGGAAGUAUGUGUUGAGUAAAUAUGAAGUAUAAGGCCCCUAGAGGUACAGAUGGCUAUGGCCGUCUAAACCAUUUUACUCUUAACUUUUAGUGUCAUGGACCUCUUUGUCAAUCUAGUGAAGUCUAUGGACCGCUUUUUUUUAAAAAAGCCUUUAAACAUAUAAAGUACAGUACAUUGAAUUACAAAAGGAUCCAAGAAUAUUGAAAUAGUUACCAAAAAAAUUUGAUAUAGAAAUAUAUGUGGUUUAUUAAUGAAUAAGAUCUAGCAGUGGCCUUACUAUAAUUUCAACACAGUAGCGUGGUGAGCAUAAAUAUUUCAACUUAUCUGCAACAAUUGUAAUGUGAUAUGGAAAUAAUCAGUUUAAUUGUGACAGUCACAUUUACUGCUAACUACUGUGAUUGACUGGCUAUGUUUACAUUUUAUUAGAAGUUAUUGAAAGUAGAUGCCAGGCAUGGUGGCUCAUGCCUGUAAUCCUAGCACUUUGGGAGGCCAAAGUGGGCAGAUCAUUUGAGCCCACGAGUUCGAGACCAGCCUGGCCAACAUGAUGAAGCCCUGUCUCUACUAAAAAUAAAAAAAAAAAUUAGCCUGGCAUGGUGGCCUGCUGUAGUCCCAGCUACUCACAAGGCUGAGGCAGAAGAAUCACUUGAACCAGGGAGGCAAAGAUUGCUGUGAGCUGAGAUCACGCCACUGCACUCCAGCCUGGGCAACAGAGCCCGACCCUGUCUCAAAAUAAAAGAGAGAUGUAAUGGACCCCUUUAAUUAAUCUAUAAACUCCUAAUUAAGAACCCUGGUUAAAAUUUUUUAAUAGGAGCUUGUCUUCUUCACUGUUGUAUCCAAAGCCUGACUGAAAUCUGUAGACACCUAAGCAGUGAAAAAUUUGAUGCCUUAACCUAUAUAAUUUAAAAUCAAAAUAUUUACACUAUAAGGUGAAUUUAAGGAAGAUCUCAUUUUUCUCAUGGUGAAGACUAAGAUACUUUUUCAAAAUUACUAAAUUUUCAUUUGUUUCAUCAGGGAUGAGGUUGGGGGAGGAUCUAGCUCCUUUAUUAAUACCUGAAUAUAUAGGUUUUAAUAUCCAAGCUUGACUAUAUCCACUACACUUGGUACACAACAGAACAAAUGAAUGAACAUUUUCAUGCCUGUAAUCCUAGCACUUUGAGAAGCCAAGGCAGGAGGAUUGCUUAAGCCCAGGAGCUUGUGACCAGCUUGGACAACAUAGGGAGACCUUAUCUCGACAAUAAAUUUAAAAAUUAGCUGGUUGUGGUGGCACGUGCUGGUAGUCCUAGCUACUGGGGAGGCUAAGGUGAGAGGAUCGCUUGAGCCCAAGAGGUUGAGGCUGCAGUGAGCCAUGAUCAUGCCACUGCACUCCAACUUGGGCUACAGAGCAAGACCUUGUCUCUCAACUAAAAAUAAAAAAUAAAAUUCACGAUACUCCCCAAAAGCUGAUGAUAACAUGUAAGAAGCGACUUGAUUUUACCUUCUAACUCUCCCUCCCUUUUAGCACAAUGCUGCAAAAUGACUGGCUCAUAAACCACUAAGCUGCCUUGGCAGCCACUUGUUAUUGUUACCAGUAGGUAAUAUGCUGUUUUCUUCUGCUUGGCACAUAAGCAGUAGGCAUGAAAUAAUUGCUUAAUGGAUAAGUAAGUUGUUAAAUUAUAAAACUCUGAUGGAUUGCUUAGUCCUUUAACAAUUUACACCCCCCUCCCACUUAUCCAAUUCUUUUGUGACAGAUUUUGCACUAGCAAAGUGCACUGUUUCAGACAAUCAAGGAAAUAAAACAUUUCUUGAUGAAAUCCUACCUCGCCUCAACAGGAAACUGAAUUGGAGUCCUCAAUUCUCAGUACAUCAGAACUAGUGUGUGAAAGGAUCAGGAGAGGACCAUAGUAUUGGAGAAUAAAACAUUAUGUAUUGAUGGUUGAGCUUUAUGUCAUCGUGUAGUAAAUGCUAUGACCAUAAAGCCAUUACUGUUAACACUUAAGUUUAUCUUCUGAAAGAAGCCUAUGAAAUAUCUCCAGAAAGACUAGGGGAUUUUCUUCUGUUUGUUUGUUUGUUUGUUUGAGAUGGAGUUUGCUCUGUUGCUCAGGCUGGAGUACAGUGGUGCGAUCUCGGCUCACUGCAACCUCUGCCUCCCAGGUUCAAGUCAUUCUCCUGCCUCAGCCUCUGGAGUAGCCAGGACUACGCACUGCGCCACCACACCCAGCUAAUUUUGUAUUUUUGGUGCAGACAGGGUUUCCCCAUGUUGGCCAGGCUGGUCUUGAACUCCUGGCCUCAAGUGAUCCGCCCACCUCGGCCCAAAGUGCUGGCCACCGCGCCCAGUCAGACUUGUUUUUUAGUGAAAUAAAUUGUUUUCCUUUAGGACCUUAUUCUUUAUGAUAACAGAUUCCAAGAAUAUGCAGUCUUGUCAAUGGCUGUUUCAUCCUCAGUUUCUUUAAAAAUAAAAUACAAUUAGAACAUUUUUAGAUAUGCUAUAUCUAUCCAAUCUAUUUUCCUGUCACCCAGUAAGGUUUUCUAUCAUCAGCACAGGUCUAUGAAAGGACAGUAAAGGGUCUCCUGUUACAUACCCUAGCACUAAUGUUUGUAAUAGAAUGUUAAGAUAAGUUGUUUCAUGUAAUCGGACUACAUUCAGUCUUUCUCUACCCUCUGUCCUCUAUUUACCCACCUAUGCAUGUGGCCUACUAAUUAUAUUGACUGUACAUGACCAGCAAGUUGUAAGUUCUUUUAAAAGCAGGAGCUCAACCAUAUUUGUAUUCACAUUUCCUUCUGCUUAAAACAGGGCUCUUGUUUCUUCAGUAAAUAUUCAUUCGGUAUCCACUAGGUGUCAGAUAAUAUACAAGGUAGGUUCUAGGGAUUCCAAGAUAAAUAAACACAGAUAUGCCAAUAUGAGUCUGACAGUUUUGGCGGGGAGAGGUGGAAAAUAGAUCUGCAAGCCAAAAAAGCUACAGUAGAAUAAUAUAAAUAUUGUAAUGGCAAUAAAAUACCAGAACUAUUAAUUUUACAUUUAGUAAUCAUUCAGUAUCAAUUAAAUGGGUAAAAUGGAUAUGUUGGCAUGAAUGACAUAUAACUGAAAAAACACUAAGAACUGUAUAGAAACUGAAUUAGACAUAUGAGUAAUAUUAGUAGGAAGGGGAGAGAAUAUUUGAUUCCAGGUAGGCUACCAAGCAGGAUGUUUUUUCAGCACAGCCUUGGAAUAAAAUCUGUAACCUUUGAAAACAAUCACAUUUUUGUUCUUAUGCAAUCUUUGUUUUUAAAUGUAUUUAUUGUUUUGGCUCUAGUCCCUGAAUGUUAAAAUUUUAGUGUCAGUGUUAAUUCUCACUUAUCUUCUCCAGACCUUACUCCCUAAUUUUCUCAUUUUCAUUUGCCCCAAUAAGUGCCAACCUUACCUUGAAUAGAAUAGUGGAUUUAUCAGCUUACAAGGACUAAAAAGUCGUCAUUUCCAAAAACAUCUGUCCAAUAAGUCUGCCUCAGUGACUACAUUUCUAGCAUUACAAUGUCAUUCUUAGUACACUGAUUUGAUCUUUACAAAUUACAUAAAUGUAUAAAAUUGUCGCAUGUACCCUAAAUUAUAUACAUCUAUUAUGUAUGUAUCAAUAAAAAAAUAAUUUUCUGUGCUUUUUCUCCUGUUAAAAAGAAUUCUUUUCUUUUUGAGACAGGGCCUGGCUCUGUCACCCAGGCUGGAGUGCAGUGGUGCAAUCUUGGCUCACUGCAGCCCCUGCCUCCCAGGCUGAAGUGAUCCUCCCACCUCAGCCUCCUGAGUAGUUGGGACUACAGAUGGGUACCACCAUGCCUGGCUAAGUUUUUGUAGAGACAGGGUUUUGCCAUGUUGUCCAGGCUGGUCUCAAACUCCUGAGCUCCAGCAGUCUUCCUGGCUUGGCUUCCCAAAGCGCUGGGAUUACAGGUGUGAGCCACCACACCCAGCUGAUUCUUUAGAAGACCAGUAUUGCAUUGUGAUUGCCUCUGGGCAGGAAAACUAAGGGGCAUCAGUAGACUAUGCAAUUACUUUCUUCCUCUUUAAAAAAGUAUUGUUAAUUUUUAAAUUUACAUAUUUUGGUAUACAAUUCUAUGAGUUUUGACAAAUGCAAAGAAUCAUAUAACCACCGCCAUAAUUGAGAUACUAAACAAUUCUAUCACCUCAAAAAAAAUCCUCUUGAGCUGUCUCAUUUAUAAUUUUUGUGAUUAAAAAUGGUUAUUUUUCAAAAAGUAACGUUUGGGCCAGUGCGCCUGGAGUGCACCAGUAGUCCCAGCUACUAGGGAGGCUGAGGCAGGAGAAUUGCUUGAACCCGGGAGGUGGCGAUUGCAAUCAGCUGAGAUCACACCACUGCACUCCACCCUGUGAGUGGGCUACAGAGUGACACUCUGUCUAAAAACAAAAACAAAAAAACACUUUAAAUGUUUCAUAUAGUUAUUCCUUAUUCAAAAAGUAUGCCUUUUUGGGUUAAGACAGUGCCAUUUCAAAUAGCCUUGUAGAAAUAUAAGCAAGGAAAUGCUAAAUUAUACCAUUAUUGAUCAUUAGUACCUUAGCUUGUAGUUUAAACUGUUGAAGAGAAUUAGGACUCCACCUGGCAUUGUGGCAUAAGCCAGUAGUCCCAGCUACCCAGGAGGCUGAGGCCUGAGCUCAGGAGUUCAAGACUAGACUGAGCACAUAGCGAGAUCUUGUCUCAAAAAAUGAAAGAAAAAGAAUUAGGACUCAGAAAAGGUAAAGGGUGUGUGUGUUUGAUUAGAUAGAGGAUGGGAUUGAAGGCUUAAGGAGGAGAUUAGGGCCUGAGAUGGAACAAUGCGCAUGGAAGGAUAGAUAUGGGUAGUGUGUUCUGAGUAAUAUAAGAGACCUAGAUUCUCAAAGAUAGAGGGCACCAAAGAGAUGAGUCCUGUAGAGGGGUGACCUUCAUGUAAAAAAUGAUCUAUCUUAAUUGGGAGCUACAGACCUGGGAUUCUGUACUGAACUUAUACAGAAUAAGUAAUUUACUCUUCAAAAGUCGCUUCCCCAGCUGGGCGCAGUGGCUCAUGGCUGUAAUCCCAACACUUUGGAAGGCUGAGGCAGGUGGAUCACCUGAGGUGAAACCCCGUCUCUACUAAAAAUAAAAAAAAAGUAGCCAGGCAUGGUGGUGGGUGCCUGUAAUCCCGGCUACUCGGGAGGCUGAGGCAGGAGAAUUGCUCGAAACCAAGAGGCAGAGGUCGCAGUGAGCUGAGAUGGUGCCAUUGCACUCCAGCCUGGGCGACAAAUGCAAAAACUGCAUCUAAAGAAAAAAAAAAAAAGUCACUACGCCUUUCUGGGCCUCAAUUUCAUAAUCUGUAAAAUAGUAAGGUUGGACUGAGUAUAUACCAAGGUCCAUUUCAGAGUUCUCCAGCUAGAAGCAAAACCCUUGUGUGUAUGUGUUAGUUUUUUUCCCCUAAGGUUUUGUCCUCUAGUUUUAACUAGAGAGACACAUUUGGGAUAUUAAUAACCGAAUUCUAGCAAGCAUUAUGAUCUCUUCAGAUUUCAUGUAGUUUGAUGUCAGAAGCUGCAUAGCAAAGUUAAGCCUGAUCUGAAUUGGCUUCAAGUGGAUAGAGCUGUAUGACCCUCAGUCUUCUCAUGUAUAGAAUGACUUAUAUACUCUAAACUUCCUUGUAGUUUUCAUAUUUCAUGACUAUGAAACCUGUGAAAACUUACCAGUGUUUUUUCUAUUCAUACUUCCUUUGAGUCUGCAGCUGCUGUUCUUCUGAUUUGAUUUUUUUGUUGUUUAUUUUUAUUAGCCACUAUUCAUUCAGUACCUUUUAUAUGUCAAAACGUUUGAUAUUUAACCUACGUUAUUUAAGGGCUUUUGUACUGCUGCUGUACUUUAUAGGUGCAUAGAUAUGGUAAAAUCACACCAUGCCUCCUGCUCUGACUCUGGAUAACAUAUUCCUACAGCAGGAUCUCAUUUCAAUAAAAAUUAAAAGAAACACUAGAGAGAGGAAGAAGGGGAGAAGAUAAAUGUGGCUUUAAAUUGAUAAGUGAAAGGCAAGGAACUAACAUUUGAGGAUCUACUAUGUGUUAGACACUUUAUAACAUGGAUCUUCUUUAGAUCAUUGAGAUAAGCAGGUAGAAAGACAUCACAAAGGGAGUCUGCUUGUAUUGAUAGCAAGAAGAAAAAAAUGACUUCAUGCCAUAAAUCACUGGAAUUAUUCAGAAUUUUUGUUUUGCAUGUUAUCCUCCAUUAUGAGGACAAAGACAGCAUAAUGUCUCUAUGUAGUAAGUGUUUGGUGAAUGUUUAUUGAAUAAGUAGGGAUUUUUAUCAUGCAUAUAGUAGUGUUUCUUAAUGUUUUGGAUCCAUGGACUUAUAAAAAUUUUAUAAAAGCUAUGGCUACAUCCAGGAUGUUACCUCCCUCCCCUGCCACACACAAAAGGAAACAGCCAAGUCCCUCCCCUCACUCUAACCAUUCCCACAUCUAUAUUUGUGUAAAACCCAUGAUUUUAAACUGUUUGCAGCCCCUCUGUAAUCCAUUCACAUGACCCAAGAACUCAGCCCUGGAAACAUCUCUGGGUAUCCAGGUAGACUAAAAGCAUAGUUCCAUUAAUUUAUAGUGCUAUAUGGUUCUGCCAUGCUUUAUUGGUCCUUUAUAGACUUGAGAAAAUCACACCAUGCCUCUUGACCAUUAACAAAUGGUCAUGUUCAGUCUUCCUUUUUAUGAGUGGAAAUUCCAUCCAAUUUGCUUUUAGGUUCAUUAAUAUGUACUACAACCAAAAGAUCAGCAGCAUUAUAUACUUUAUCUUUUUUAGUCUUUUGAAGUACAAAUUAUGCGAUUUUACAGAUAAAUUAUCUCAUGGGUAGCAUAUGUCUGGCUUUCUAGGUGGAAUGAUUCCUAUUUCUUUUUGUACCUCUCCCCAUUCAGAACUCACUUUGAGGCCAAGCGUGGUUGCUCAGGCCUGUAAUCCCAGCACUUUGGGAGGCCGAGGCAGGUGGAUCACCUGAGGUCAGGAGUUGGAGACCAGCCUGGCCAACACGACAAACCCCGUCUCUACUAAAAAUACAAAAAUUAGCCUGGCAUGGUGGCACACACCUGUAAUUCCAGCUGCUCGGGAGGCUGAAGCAUGAGAAUCACUUGAACCUGGGAGGCAGAGGUUGCAGUGAGCCAAGGUUGCAGUGGAUCAAGAUCACACCACUGCACUCCAGCCUGGGCAAUAGAGUGAGACUCUGUCUCAAGAAGAAGAAAAAGAAAAAAAACUCACUUUAAACUCUGCUAGACCAUUGCCCUUGUAUGUGAAAUUUUAUCUGGAUAGAAGAAGAUGAGGAAAAAAAUUUUCUUGUCUUUUAGUGGAGGAGAAUGACAUGUAAAACAAGUAUUCUUUAAAAAUUCCAAAUAUGAUAUGAGAACUACCCCAUAAAGUUGUGAAGGUCACAUUGGUGAAAGGAAAACUAAGUGCUGUGUAAAUUACAAAGUUGUCUAAGUAUCCACCUGGUCCUUACCUUGCUAUAGAAUCUUUUUUUUUUUUAGACGGAGUCUAGCUCUGUCGCCCAGGCUGGAGUGCAGUGGCGCAAGCUCCGCUUACUGCAAGCUCCGCCUCCUGGGUUCAUGCCAUUCUCCUGCCUCAACCGCCCGAGUAGCUGGGAUUACAGGUGCCCACCACCACGCCCAGCUAAUUUUUUUUUUUUUUUUGUAUUUUUAGUAGAGACGGGGUUUUCCCAUGUUAGCCAGGAUGGUCUUGAUCUCCUGACCUCGUGAUCUGCCCACCUCGGCCUCCCAAGGUGCUGGGAUUACAGGUGUGAGCCACCACGCCCAGCCUACCUUGCUAUAGAAUCUUUAGGCCUAAUAUAGUCUAGCCAGAACAGCUAUUUGGAUGCUUGCCUAAUCUUCAAUACUGGUUUCCCUUUUAUACAUGACUGCAAAACUGACUCUCACCUAGGUUUGUGAUGUUAGAAACUCCAGUUGUUUACUAUUAUUAUUAAAGUGGGAAACGGAGUUCGUUGAUCAAAUGGAUUAAUGUUUUGAGUACUUACUAUACACCAGGGGCUCUUAAAUUUUUACAUAAACUUUCUGGAUGGAGAGUGAUAGAAUCUCCAUUGUUCACUUGCCACAAGCCACACCAUUUGUAGCUAACAUUUGAAUGCUUACUAUGAGCAAAGGCACUGUUCCAAGGGCAUUACAUGCACAUCAUUCAUAUUUCUCAUUUAAUCUUUAUAACAACUCCUUAAAAUACUGGUAGUAUUCUUGUUCCCUAAUUUGUCAAUAAGAAAACUGAAAUUUAGAGAUUAUACAAUUUGCCCAGCACUAUUGGAAAGCUGGGACUUUGAAACCUGGCUGAUUUGACUCCAAAGUCUGCACUCUAUUCCAACAGACUGCCAGUGCCUCCAGAAUUAAUUAGCAUUAAUAUUUUCUGUUGUUUAUGAUCUAAGUAUGGCUGUCCAUGGCAGGGAGUUAAUGAGGGAGGCAUUAAUGGGGAAACACUGGACCACUUCUGAGAGAUGUGGUGCCCUCCCUCACAAACAGGUUUCUUGUGGUGAAAUCAGGUUGGAAGGAUAAGAGAGGCUGAAGAAGGUGGAGGUGGUGUAGUUGGGCCUGUUUAGGAACUGAUUACAUCUGAGCCUCUGGCCCUUUUUCCUGCCAGCUGACUCAGAGCUGGCAGAUGGGCCAAAGUCCAGGCAGGUUGAUUUCAUGGGCUGUAUACUUCAAAGGAUCUGAUUCCUGGUGCUACUAAGCACAUUGCUUUUCCGAAGGCACAGUCUUGUGGGGGAGGGAACAGGAUGGUCUCCAUGAGGUGUUUGUGAAAGCCCUAGGCAAUGUUUGCUCUAAUCCAAAUAUAUACAGCUUGUUUUGAGUUUGGCAAUAAAACACAGAGCCAGCCCUAAGCAGGGCUGAAAACUGAGUAUUUAAACCUUAAGUAUUCUGCAAUACAACAACAGUUAAGUAUAUGGGUCCUAGAGUCAGAUAGAACUGAAAUCUAAUCUUGACUUCACCACUCAGCUGUAGAUAAAUUACUAGACCUCAGUUUUCUUGUUCGUGAAAUGGGGAUUUUAGUUAUAGAGUACCUACUUCAUAUGGUUGUCGUGAGGAUUAAACAAAAAUGUAUACCACAGUACCUGAGAUGUAGUAAACACUCUUGAAACAUUAGUCAUUAUUCAUUUUUUAAAUUUUUCCUUCAAAUACUUUCCUAUCCAAUAGUCAUUAUUCAUUGAAAACUUCUAUUUUAUAAGACGAUCUCAGCACUUAAACAAAAUAAAUUGAUUCAUCAUGUUUUCACUUAACAGGCAUUCAAAAGGCAUUUAUUAUUGUGUUGGGUAGAUGGAUGGAGAAAAUAGCAAUAAUUUUUGUUGAACACCUAAAAUGAGCCAAACUUUUUAAAAAAUAUUGUCUCAUUUUAUGCUCACAACAGCUCUAUGAAGUAUUUUCCUAUAUUAUAGAUGAGAUCAUGGGCCAAGAGAGGAUUAGCAACAUGCCUAAGAUCAUAUAGUCAGCACUGUCUAAUUCUGAAGCCUAUGAAUAAGGUAGCAUUUAUCCCCACGGAAGCAUGGUAUUCAGCAGGCAGGCAGACACAUAAACAAGUACAGCUGGCCCAUCUAGCCUCACGUUCUGCAUCCAUGGAUUCAACCAAAAAUGGAUUUAAAAUAUUGGGGAAAAAACAAAUAAUAAAACAACUAAAAAAUACAAAUUUUAAAAUAUAGUAUAACAACUACUUACAUAGCUUUUACAUUGUAUUAGGUAUUAUAAGUAAUGUAGAGAUGGUUUAAAGUAUACAAGAGAGUCUGGACACAGUGGCUUAUGCCUGUAAUCCCAGCUUUUUGGGAGGCCAAGGUGGGUGGAUCCCUUGAGCCCAGGAGUUUGAGACCAGCCUGAGCAACAAGAUGAAACCCUGUCUCUACAAAAAAUACAAAAAUUAGCCAGAUGUGUUGGUGCAUGCCUGUGGUCCCAGCUACUCGGGAGAGUGAGGUGGGAGAAUCACUUGAGCCUCAGAGAUCGAGGCUGCAGUAAGCUGUAAUCACGCCACUGCACUCCAGCCUGGGUGACAGAGUAAGACCCUGUCUCAAAAGUAAUAAUAAUAAUAAAGUAUACAAGAGGAUGUCAUAUGUUAUAUGCAAAUAUUAUACCUUUUUUUUUUUUUUUUUUUGAGACAGUCUCUUGCUCUGUUGCCCAGGCUGGAGUAGAGUGGUGCUAUCAUAGCUGACUGUAACCUCGAACUCUUUCCUGAACUUGAGUGAUCUUCCUGCUUCAGCCUCCCAAGUAGCUGAGACUACAGGCAUGUGCCAUCACAUCCAGCUAAUUUUUAAUUUUUAAUUUUUUUUGUAGAGAUGGGGUCUCACUGUGGUGCCCAGGCUGUUAUGCCAUUUUAUAUAAGGGACUUGAACAUCUGCAGAUUUCAAGGGGAAAGAGUUUGAGGUUACAGUCAGCUAUGAUAGCACCACUCUACUCCAGCCUGGGCAACAGAGCCAGAGACUGUCUCAAAAAAAAAAAAAAAAAGAGGAGAGUCCUGGAACCAACUCCCCACAGUUAUGGAGGAAGGACUGUACCUACAGUCAAAGUGCUGUCGUUGAGUUUUACACUAGGUGCUUGGGAGAACAGAAUGGAAUAGGUGAACUCUGGGCAUGAAGUGAAGGUAGUCCCCUUCACAGGAAUAAAUGCUAAUAAUGGGGCUUCAGGUGAGAAUGAGGAAGGAAGCCUUUGCUGGUGGAGGAGUUAAGGGAGUUCUUUCUGGGUUUCCCUAAGUCACACUAGAAGAAAAGGGUUACAGGGAGGCCUUUCUGGAAUUCCUCAAGUCAAUAUGACAGCCUCUUAGAUCCAGCAUUACAACUGCAGCAAAUUUUAUAGCUGCAAACAAAGAAACUGUCUCCAGAGAGACAGAUUAUGUUGUUUACUUGAGGCAAAAUGGUGGGGGUUCUAUAUAAAUGAUAUGUCUGCAUCCGAAUCAUCUGUACCUUUUUGGGCUUUAGAACCAAACCUAAUAGUAAUAAUAGCAACCAAUUCUUAACUGCAUGAUCAUUAGGUACUAAUCACUGCUAUGUUCACAGGCUAGAACUCUCAACUGGAGAAAGGUAGAGUUGUUUGUCUAAAUCAAUAAUCUCAAAUUAAGUACACUUAAUUUGAGCAUAUACCCCCAAUAUAUGUAUAUUACUUUAUAAGUUAUACACAUCCACUAUUGGGCUAAUAUAAAAUAUACAUUAUGAAAUGUAAACAAAAAGUUUGAAGGAAUACAAUGAAAAUGAAUAAACUUUUAUCUCAGGGAAAAUAUAUACUUAGGUUUCUGUAUCUUGUUAUUAAGUGGAUACAAAUUAAUACUGUAUUUCAAAUAGAUUUUUUAAUAGUUUUGGAUGUUUUGAGUCAGCUGGUCAGAUUUUGUUAAUCAUUGUAUUUAACUUCAUAAUGUGACUGAUGAAGGGAUCAUACUAAGUAAAAGUGUCAGUUCUGCCAUUUGAGAGUGGGGGAUCCUAUGUAUCAUCUUCAAUUCACAGGGUUUUCUUUUUCCCAGCAAUUUUUUAAAACCAAUUAUUCACUUUGUAAUAUUUCAUUUUGUUAAAGUUAGAUUUUAAAAAUCCAUAAAUCCCCUUUUGAACCACAAUAUGUCACUAAUGCUCAAAGAAAGAAACUCCAUUUGUAUCUCAUCUGAUGUGAGCGUCAAAUAUAGAAACAAUGUGGGGAUGCCAACCUCAAUCCAUAUGGAUGAAUAGGGCUUAAUUUUCUCAUGAUAAACCUAAGUAGAAGCUAUGAAAAUUCUUACCACACUUCAGUGAAUUAUCUUGUAUACCUCUAGAGUGAGCACAUUCCACUUUGGAGAUCAGUAGUCUCAGCAACAAGACCUGUGGCCAUAAAGUGGGAAUAAACAAUCCAAUUUUUAGCAAUGCUUGGCCCAGAUUCACUUAUGAGUGACAUGAGAAAGGUACAACAUGAUAUUCCAGGAAAUCAGAAGAGCUAAGUAUAUCUGAACCUUUGAGAGUAUGGCCUGUCCAUACAAAGGCAGAAUCUACAUUUGUCAAGUGCCUUCAAGAAACAUUCUACCAAGAUAUGCACCUCCACAAAAGUAAGAAAAAGAGAAAAAAAAGAUUUUAAAAUUUUAUUUUAUUUUUUUGAGAUGGAGUCUCGCUCUGUCCCCCAGGUUGGAGUGCAGUGGCGCUAUCUCAGCUCACUGCAAGCUCCGCCUCCCAGGUUCACUCCAUUCUCCUGCCUCAGCCUCCCAAGUAGCUGGGACUACAGGCGCCCACCACCACACCCGGCUAUUUUUUUUUUUUUGUAUUUUUAGUAGAGACGGGGUUUCACCGUGUUAGCCAGGAUGGUCUCAAUCUCCUGACCUCGUGAUCCACCCACCUUGGCCUCCCAAAGUGCUGGGAUUACAGGCGUGAGCCACCGCACCUGGCCUUUAAAAUUUUAUUUUUAAAAAAUCACACACACACAAAAUACAUUCUACUUUUUAAGAAAAUUGACUUAGAUUUAAUCCCAGCUCUGCUAUUUGCUAACCAUGCAAUUUUGGGAAAGUAACGACCUAUUGGAGCCUGUUUCCCAUCUCCAAAGUGAGAAUGAUUAAUGCUAUACCUACUUCACUGAGAAGAAGAGUGUAUCAUGGUCAUAUUGACCCCUCACUAUGUGCAUAGAGAUGCUGAGCUAAACUCUUUACAAGCGUUUAUUUAAUCCUCAAUAUACCAGUGACUAGAGGCUAAGCAGUUUACCAAAGCAUUUUCCUUUCCCUCCUUAGCACACAGGACUAUAUUUCCUGGCCUCCUUUGCAGUUAGGUGCAGCCACAUUACUGUGUUCUAGCCAUUGAAAUAUGGAAAGAAAUGAUCAAUACUACCUCCAGCCCUGGCCCAUAAAACUUUCCUUUCCAUUCUUCGUGCUCUCAUUCUUCCUUCAUCUGCCGGAGGAUUCAGCAGAACCAUUAGGUGCACAGAGCUCUUCUCUCCUCCCACUACUUCCAACGUGCAUUGAACUGUGAUGUGAGCCAGAAAUAAACUCUUAUUGUGUUAAAU